UUUCCGAAUAAACUUGACUUACACAGAAAUAUUUGCCACUGGUCUUUAUUCAAACAACGAUUCACUCAUAAAUGCAUUACUUAAAAAGUGUGAGGUAAAUGUAUUGUUUGUGCAAUAUCUCGGAUCCGUGAAAUUACACUUAAAAGUAAAAAAAAAAAAACAUAAUCAACCCCCCCCCUUUUUUUGCCAAAUACUUCUUGGAGAAG
Molecule: long non-coding RNA, 206 nt
Filed under: Mytilus galloprovincialis (Mediterranean mussel)
Lineage: Eukaryota; Metazoa; Mollusca; Bivalvia; Mytilida; Mytilidae
Source: RNAcentral